CAAAGAGGAUAAGCCUAGUCAAAAUUUAACUCAAUUUCUACUUUUCACAGGGUGACAAACUAAAUGAAUCUCAAACACAAGGGACCAAGAUCUUCUAGAAUAUACUUUCUGAAGAUAGAGCGGGGGAAAAGAAGGAAAAUGUACUCUGACAUAGAAGCAAUAGUAUUAACAAUUACGGCAUUAUUCCAAGUGCUUUAUAUAAUUUAAUCCUAAGCAACAACUCUAUGGAGUUAGUAUGCUAUACAAUUUUCACUUUUACUAUGAGGACACUAAGCCACAAAAAUAUUAAUUCUUUUGCCCUAAAUUAUACAGCUAGCAAGCUGCAAGAACAGGGCUUAGGUCCUGGCAAUCUGGUGCUGGAUCCAAUGCAUUUUUUCAGGAGGAUAGAGAUACCUCAAAAUAAAGUAAUGAGCCAUUUGCAGAUGCGACCCAUUUGGGAGUUAUAAUUUUGUUGCUGAGGAAAUUAAAAUAUUCCAGAAGACCUCAUAAUGAGAGUGAGAUAUUUUAUAGGAUCUCAGCUAAAUUGGAAGAGAGCUGAGCUGCCAGGUGUUGGAGUAGCUGAUUCAAGCAACAAGCCAAGAAGAAAAGGGAUAAGUCUUUAAUCUCUCAUUACGAUGAUGUAAGAGGCUGCAACUUGGGAAAAUAUGGAUCCCCUGUCCUUUUCCCUGUGGAGUUUUGCACCUGUCUAGAGUCAGAAGAAUUGAUGCAGAUAAUUACCUUGAUUCCUAGAGAAGAUCAGAAAGAAUGCUUAUAUUUCAAAAGGCAUAGAGAAAAACAAUGCAAGUUCUACCAAGAAGGGCUUUUGUUCCCCAAAUGCAGAUCUUUUACAAUAUCUGCAAGCCUUUUGAGAUCAAUAAAAAAAGUUUCGAGUUUGGUAAAAAGGAGAGAUGAGCUUUGGAUUAUUUCUAGAGUCCCAUUUCUGUUCUUGUAAAAACUUGAUUUGUAAGACAAUUACAGUAAUUUCUAAUUCCUCAAAGAAUUGGAUUCAACCUGAAUGAUGUCAAGAGGAUGACACACCUAUCCAACUGCAUAAUACUUGCUUUGCUUUUUUAUAUUAGGGAGAAGAUCUUUAAAAUGGAAUUCAAAUAAUUCCUAUAUUCUAGAUUUCAAACUGUUUACUUUUGGGAUGUUUUAGUAAAUCUUCUACAAAGGUUUCAUGAAUGUUUUUUUUCCCCUCUAUGAACACAGUUACAUUUUAACUUAGGAUACAAGAACUGGAAAAAAAAAAAGUUCCUAUAAGCCUCUGAAUGUCAGGCUUCACAGUAUACCCAGUCCAGCUUCUAAGUCAGACCCAGUUUGCCUCUAGCUGGUUUCCAGACCCAGUCCUGUUUCAAAGUCAGACACAGUGUGACCCUGGACUUAAUUCGAUUUCUAAGUCAGAUCCAGUCUGACUCUGCCCAGUUUCUGGACCCAGUACAGAAAAGGAAAUGUUUGAAUAAGUCUAAAUGUUUAUAGUGCAAAAAACUGCAGCGCUAGGAUCUGAGAGGAGUAACUUACCCACUACCUCCAGGGGCUAUGAGAGCACAGUAACCUCAGGAGGUUGGGGUGAUGUUCAUCGCAUAUCUUCACCUGCUCAUUGCUUCCGGGUCAUCAGGGUCUCCAGUUCUUGCUUCUAAUACCAGAACUUUUAAAAGAUUAAUUGAGGCAUAUUUAAAAUUUUAAGAGUUUAUUUAGGCAAAAAUCAAUUUGAAUCAGGCAACAUGCCACCUAGCAGAAAGAAAAAAGCUCCAGGGAACUGUACAAAAAGAAAGAUUUUUAUAGGCAGAAGGGAGAGGGAACAGGAAGUUAAGCUAGGCUACCAUUCCUCUAUGAAAAAAAAAAAAAAAAAGUUAUGCUAGGCAAAAAAGUGGAUUGAUUAUUGCAAGGUUACUUUUCUUUAGGAGAUGGAAGGAGUGUACUAGGCAGGUUACCUCCCCAGUGCUGAUCAGGAGAUUCUUCUUUGACCAGUUUAAGAUUUAUUCCUGAGAUAAUCAAAAUUCUAUUUAAAUCUUGGUUUGGUGACAUGGGGCUAAACAUAAAUGACUCUAUUUUUGACUAGUCUUGUUUUUAAUACUAUUAGCAUUAAUAAAUAAUGAUAAAUUCAGAUAAAAUGCUAAUUG
Long non-coding RNA from Vulpes vulpes (red fox), 2099 nucleotides. The record is from Ensembl. NCBI's taxonomy places the organism in Eukaryota, Metazoa, Chordata, Mammalia, Carnivora, Canidae.